CCCUUAGAUGUUCUGGGCUGCACGCGUGUUACAAUCGGGAGUACAACAAGAUUGCAAAUCCUAGUGGAUGAGUGGUUCUUCGAAAUUUUCUGAAGACUGGGAUAGUUGAUUGAAAUUAUUCAACUCGAACGAGGAAUUCCUUGUAAUUGUAAUUCAUUAUAUUGUAAUGAAUACGUCCCUGCCCUUUGUACACACCGCCCGUCGCUCCUACCGAUUGAACGAUCCGGUGAAUUAUUUGGAGUAGCUCUGGAAGUUGCAGAACUUCCUAUGUCACGAAAUUUUGUAAACCUUGUCGUUUAGAGGAAGGAAAAGUCGUAACA
This 320-nucleotide ribosomal RNA is filed under the name uncultured eukaryote. RNAcentral describes it as "partial 18S ribosomal RNA". It matches the Rfam family "Eukaryotic small subunit ribosomal RNA", at positions 1470 to 1796 of the family's 1831-position model. The record is from RNAcentral.